GUUUUAGAUCUUGUAGGAGUGAACUGAAAUUCUUCCAUUAAAGUCUAAAGAAAAUGUUAACAUUUUUUAAAUGUUCUGGCUAACUUAAGAUGUGUUACUUAGCUGUUUCUCCUCCACAAACGUCAUUCUCUGAGUGUCAGGAACCAUGUCCCAACUACCAGAACCAGAAAGCUUCAACAACUGUUCAAUCACAAGCUCUUUUCACAAGUGCCUGCUUCCUUUUACCUACAGAUAUAAAUUGCUUGGAAAGCCGUGGCUAUUUUGUAGAGCUGAAGCAAUGCUUGGAUAUAAAUAUGCUCUCAGCAACCAGAUAUGGUAUUAAAACAACUAAAAAAUGGUUGAGUUUUCCUCCAUUAUUGUUAACCAUCAAAACACAGCUCUUACUCUUGAAGACUGCAGACACAGACACAGAUUUUAAAGCAGUUGUUACAGCUGACCCUGUGAAACAGUGAGUUAUUUCACACUGAACACUCCUAAUGGAUACACAGAAGAACUAAACGUAGUAGAAGUUACUUUUUCUCCUCUAUUUAAAAGUGAAUUAUUCUUCACCAUCAGAGUUGCCAGAACUUCCUGGCAUGUGGGACAAGCCAGAUGCUGGAGAUACAGGACUUGAGAAAGUGAGCAAAUGCAGUGGGGCAUGCUGUGGAAAAAAUAGCAUACAUGAAUACUGUAGUACACAUGGCCACCAAUGGAUGAAUAAAGAAAAGAGACUUGUUUUCUUUGAAUACCAGCUUGGGACUGGUAUUGCAAUAAUAGUCUCCCAUGUACCAACAUUUGCAGAUGGUCAUCCGGAGAGAGCCCAAAGCUUCCCUUCCCUGUGCCAGAGCUGCAACAGUCCUCCUCUCCCACCAUCCCCAGAAGGGAAAGGCUGGUUUAGGUAUUCUGGACGGAUGCUGCUCAGGCAGGUAAUUUUGGGCAAUGGGAGUCAGUCAGAAAACUACAGUUCCUUUCAUCACUUGUAG
Molecule: long non-coding RNA, 962 nt
Filed under: Anser brachyrhynchus (Pink-footed goose)
Lineage: Eukaryota; Metazoa; Chordata; Aves; Anseriformes; Anatidae
Description: lncRNA (ENSABRG00000003967.1)
Source: RNAcentral